GAUGAACGCUAGCGGGAGGCUUAACACAUGCAAGUCGAGGGGUAACGAUAUCUUCGGAUAGUCGACGACCGGCGCACGGGUGAGUAACAGGUAUGCAACCUACCCUUAACAGGAGGAUAGCCCGAAGAAAUUCGGAUUAAUACUCCAUAACAUUUGUAAAUCGCAUGAUUUACUUUUUAAAGCUCCGGCGGUUAAGGAUGGGCAUGCUUAAUAUUAGCUAGUUGGUAAGGUAACGGCUUACCAAGGCUACGAUAUUUAGGGGUUCUGAGAGGACGAUCCCCCACACUGGUACUGAGACACGGACCAGACUCCUACGGGAGGCAGCAGUGAGGAAUAUUGGUCAAUGGGCGCAAGCCUGAACCAGCCAUCCCGCGUGUAGGAUGACGGCCUUAUGGGUUGUAAACUACUUUUAUAUAGGAAGAAACUUUUCUACGUGUAGAAAACUGACUGUACUAUACGAAUAAGCAUCGGCUAACUCCGUGCCAGCAGCCGCGGUAAUACGGAGGAUGCAAGCGUUAUCCGGAUUUAUUGGGUUUAAAGGGUGUGUAGGCGGAUUAAUAAGUCAGUGGUGAAAUCCUACAGCUUAACUGUAGAACUGCCAUUGAUACUGUUAACCUUGAGUAUAGUUGAGGUAGGCGGAAUGUGUUGUGUAGCGGUGAAAUGCUUAGAUAUAACACAGAACACCGAUUGCGAAGGCAGCUUACUAAACUAUUACUGACGCUGAGGCACGAAAGCGUGGGGAGCGAACAGGAUUAGAUACCCUGGUAGUCCACGCCGUAAACUAUGAUUACUCGUUGUGCGCGAUACAUUGUGCGCGACUAAGCGAAAGCAUUAAGUAAUCCACCUGGGGAGUACGAUCGCAAGAUUGAAACUCAAAGGAAUUGACGGGGGCCCGCACAAGCGGAGGAACAUGUGGUUUAAUUCGAUGAUACGCGAGGAACCUUACCUGGGCUUAAAUGUAGAACGACAGAUCGGGAAACUGAUCUUUCUUCGGACGGACUACAAGGUGCUGCAUGGUUGUCGUCAGCUCGUGCCGUGAGGUGUCGGGUUAAGUCCCAUAACGAGCGCAACCCCUAUCGUUAGUUGCUAGCAGGUAAUGCUGAGGACUCUAGCGAAACUGCCACCGUAAGGUGUGAGGAAGGUGGGGAUGACGUCAAAUCAGCACGGCCCUUAUGUCCAGGGCUACACACGUGUUACAAUGGUCGGUACAAAGGGCAGCUACCUGGUGACAGGAUGCUAAUCUCCAAAACCGAUCCUAGUUCGGAUCGCAGUCUGCAACUCGACUGCGUGAAGUUGGAUUCGCUAGUAAUCGCGCAUCAGCCACGGCGCGGUGAAUACGUUCCCGGGCCUUGUACACACCGCCCGUCAAGCCAUGGAAGUUGGGGGUACCUAAAGUCCGUAACCGUAAGGAGCGGCCUAGGGUAAAACCGAUAACUAGGGCUAAGUCGUAACAAGGUAACC
This 1461-nucleotide ribosomal RNA is filed under the name uncultured Bacteroidota bacterium. RNAcentral's name for it is "bacterial SSU rRNA". It matches the Rfam family "Bacterial small subunit ribosomal RNA". Lineage: Bacteria; Pseudomonadati; Bacteroidota. The record is from RNAcentral.